This 250-nucleotide ribosomal RNA is filed under the name uncultured bacterium. RNAcentral describes it as "partial 16S ribosomal RNA". It matches the Rfam family "Bacterial small subunit ribosomal RNA", at positions 524 to 773 of the family's 1533-position model. The record is from RNAcentral.
UACGAACCCGACAAACGUUAUUCGGAAUUAUUGGGCUUAAAGGGUGCGUAGGCGGUGCGGUAAGUGCGGUGUGAAAUCCCUCGGCUCAACCGAGGAAUUGCGCUGCAUACUGCCGUGCUGGAGGGAGACAGAGGUAAGCGGAACUGAUGGUGGAGCGGUGAAAUGCGUUGAUAUCAUCAGGAACACCGGUGGCGAAAGCGGCUUACUGGGUCUCUUCUGACGCUGAGGCACGAAAGCUAGGGUAGCGAAC